This 450-nucleotide ribosomal RNA is filed under the name uncultured bacterium. RNAcentral describes it as "partial 16S ribosomal RNA". It matches the Rfam family "Bacterial small subunit ribosomal RNA", at positions 354 to 796 of the family's 1533-position model. The record is from RNAcentral.
GUGGGGAAUCUUCCGCAAUGGACGAAAGUCUGACGGAGCGACGCCGCGUGAGUGAAGAAGGCCUUCGGGUCGUAAAGUUCUGUCAUCAGGGACGAACGGCCGGUGGAGUGGAAAGCCACCGGAUUGACGGUACCUGAGAAGGAAGCCACGGCUAACUACGUGCCAGCAGCCGCGGUAAUACGUAGGUGGCAAGCGUUGUCCGGAAUUAUUGGGCGUAAAGCGCGCGCAGGUGGGAUCUUAAGUCCAUUUUUAAAGUUCGGAGCUCAACUCCGUGAUGGGAUGGAAACUGGGAUUCUUGAGUACCGGGGAGGAAAGCGGAAUUCCCCGUGUAGCGGUGAAAUGCGUAGAUAUGGGGAGGAACACCAGUGGCGAAGGCGGCUUUCUGGACGAAAACUGACGCUGAGGCGCGAAAGCCAGGGGAGCGAACGGGAUUAGAAACCCUGGUAGUCC